This 358-nucleotide long non-coding RNA is filed under the name Rhagoletis pomonella (apple maggot). RNAcentral's name for it is "uncharacterized LOC118735807, transcript variant X1". The record is from RNAcentral. Lineage: Eukaryota; Metazoa; Arthropoda; Insecta; Diptera; Tephritidae.
GAGUAACAAAACACAAACAAACGCUUCUAUAACAAAAACUAAAAUAAAUACAAAUUAAGAGAGCGCAAGAAAUGGAAUUCAUUGAGCACAAACUAAUCAAUAGCGAAGUAAUUUAAUCGGCAAGCAAUAAGCAAGCGCACUAACCUCAACUAACGAUAUUGUGUUCGAAAAUAGUUGCAAAUCAAAAAUAGCGCUGUGCGGUCGGAAUUACGUUAGCCCGCAAUUUGCACAAAAUUUGGCCUGAAUAAAUUAAAAAAAAAAAAAAACGAACGACCUUGCCUUUUAACGUCUUAAGUGUUGUGGAAACAUUGAACUCUCAAUAUGGUGGCAAUUACUAAUAACAAUGAAAUUGAGCGAG